ACUAUUUUGAUCCUGGCUCAGGAUGAACGCUGGCGGCGUGCCUAAUACAUGCAAGUCGAACGAGGUGCUUUUGUAGCAAUACGAGAGUAUCCUAGUGGCGAACGGGUGAGUAACGCGUUGGUGACCUACCCCAAAGUGUGGGAUAACAAUCCGAAAGGAUUGCUAAUACCGCAUGUGGUUAUUGGAUUUAGAAACCGGUGACUAAAGGAGCAAUUCGCUUUGGGAGGGACCUGCGUCCCAUCAGCUAGUUGGUGAGUAUGUGGCUCACCAAGGCGACGACGGGUAGGGGACCUGAGAGGGUGGCCCCCCACAAUGGAACUGAAACACGGUCCAUACACCUACGGGUGGCAGCAGUAGGGAAUAUUGCACGAUGGGCGAAAGCCUGAUGCAGCAACGCCGCGUGUGUGAUGAAGGCCUUCGGGUCGUAAAGCACUUUUCUGGGAGAUGAGAAAGGACAGUAUCCCAGGAAUAAGUCUCGGCUAACUACGUGCCAGCAGCCGCGGUAAAACAUGGGGAGGCAAGCGUUAUCCGGAUUCACUGGGCGUAAAGCGCGUGCAGGUGGCGCGGUAAGUUGGGUGUGAAAUCUCCCGGCUCAACUGGGAGAGGUCAUUCAAUACUACCGUGCUUCCGAGCAUAUACCGAGGAAGAUGGAAUUCCCGGUGUAGUGGUGAAAUGCGUAGAUAUCGGGAGGAACACCAGUGGCGAAGGCGAUCUUCUGGUCUGUUUCUGACACUCAGACGCGACAGCUAGGGUAGUAAACGGGAUUGGAGACCCCUAUAAUCCUAGCCGUAAACGAUGUGAAUUUGGCGUUGGUGGGUUAAACUCCCCAGUGCCGUAGCAAACGCGAUAAGUUCACCCGCCUGGGGACUACGGCCGCAAGGUUAAAACUCAAAGGAAUUGACGGGGGCCCGCACAAGCAGCGGAGCGUGUGGUUUAAUUCGAUGCUACACCAUAUUAACCUUACCCAGGCUUGACAUACAGGUGGUAGGGAUCCGAAAGGUGACCGACCCGCAAGGGAGCCUGUACAGAUGUUGCAUGGCUGUCGUCAGCUCGUGUCGUGAGAUGUUCGGUUAAGUCCGCUAACGAGCGCAACCCUCGCUGCGUGUUACAAGUGUCACGCAGUAUCCGCCGGUAUAUCCGCCGGAGGAAGGUGGUUGAUGACGUCAAGUCAGCAUGGCCUUUAUGCCUGGGGCUACACACACGCUACAAUGCCACAGUUACCAAUGGGUUGCUAAGCCGCGAGGUGGAGCCAAUCCCCCAAAACUGUCCUCAGUUAGAUUGCAGGCUGCAUCUCGUUGAGGAGGACCUAUAGU
Molecule: ribosomal RNA, 1313 nt
Filed under: uncultured Chloroflexota bacterium
Lineage: Bacteria; Bacillati; Chloroflexota
Description: bacterial SSU rRNA
Rfam family: Bacterial small subunit ribosomal RNA
Source: RNAcentral